This is a non-coding RNA of Heterocephalus glaber (naked mole-rat), 553 nucleotides long. The record is from RefSeq and is a predicted model, not a curated record. Lineage: Eukaryota; Metazoa; Chordata; Mammalia; Rodentia; Bathyergidae.
CAAACAAGAAAAAGAGGGGGCACAGUGAGAAGAGCAGAAAAAGGAAAGGUUAUGUCUCCAAGCCAAGAAACACCCAGAAUUGCUUGGAACCACCAGAAGCUAGGAGAGAGAUGAGACCACCGACCAAGAUGAACUAUCCUCAGUUCCAGUUCUCAAGGAGGAAUCCGAUAGACUCAGCUUGGUGUCAUUUCCGCGAAGCCCCAGAGGGAAAGUGCUGCACCAUCUCCAGGGCUGGAAUGCUGACAUCUGGUCGUUAUGCCCAACAGCCCUUGGACCGCUGCCCCCAAAGAAGCACCUUUGAUGAGACUGCACAAUGGCUCCCCAGAUGCCCAGCUCUGCAUUUCUGCUCCAAGCUUCUGCAGCGUGGAAUUAUCCUGGCCAGCAAGCACCCACGAGCACUCAUUUAGGAGACUGGGUCUGGCAAAUGGGUGGAAAGAAAAGAAGAAUGGCAGGGAAAACAGAUUUUUUUUCCCCAGAAAUGAGAAAGGAUGCUCCCCUAAGGGUUUCACUUAUUUUUUCCCCUACUGGCGAGAGAUGGAAGCUAAAUUUUUCA